UACGGAGGGUGCAAGCGUUAUCCGGAUUUACUGGGUUUAAAGGGUGCGUAGGCGGAUAAUUAAGUUAGAAGUGAAAUCCCGAAGCUCAACUUCGGAAUUGCUUCUAAUACUGGUUAUCUUGAAUUCGGUUGAGGUAUGCGGAAUAUAACAUGUAGCGGUGAAAUGCGUAGAGAUGUUAUAGAACACCAAUUGCGAAGGCAGCGUGCUAAACCGAUAUUGACGCUGAGGCACGAAAGCAUGGGUAGCGAACAGG
Molecule: ribosomal RNA, 253 nt
Filed under: uncultured bacterium
Lineage: Bacteria
Description: partial 16S ribosomal RNA
Rfam family: Bacterial small subunit ribosomal RNA
Source: RNAcentral